AUUGAACGCUGGCGGCAGGCCUAACACAUGCAAGUCGAACGGUAACAGGAAGCAGCUUGCUGCUUUGCUGACGAGUGGCGGACGGGUGAGUAAUGUCUGGGAAACUGCCCGAUGGAGGGGGAUAACUACUGGAAACGGUAGCUAAUACCGCAUAACGUCGCAAGCCCAAAGAGGGGGACCUUAGGGCCUCUUGCCAUCGGCUGUGCCCAGAUGGGAUUAGCUAGUAGGUGGGGUAACGGCUCACCUAGGCGACGAUCCCUAGCUGGUCUGAGAGGAUGACCAGCCACACUGGAACUGAGACACGGUCCAGACUCCUACGGGAGGCAGCAGUGGGGAAUAUUGCACAAUGGGCGCAAGCCUGAUGCAGCCAUGCCGCGUGUAUGAAGAAGGCCUUCGGGUUGUAAAGUACUUUCAGCGGGGAGGAAGGGAGUAAAGUUAAUACCUUUGCUCAUUGACGUUACCCGCAGAAGAAGCACCGGCUAACUCCGUG
This 490-nucleotide ribosomal RNA is filed under the name uncultured bacterium. RNAcentral's name for it is "partial 16S ribosomal RNA". It matches the Rfam family "Bacterial small subunit ribosomal RNA", at positions 30 to 507 of the family's 1533-position model. The record is from RNAcentral.